This 320-nucleotide ribosomal RNA is filed under the name uncultured Lachnospiraceae bacterium. RNAcentral's name for it is "partial 16S ribosomal RNA". Lineage: Bacteria; Bacillati; Bacillota; Clostridia; Lachnospirales; Lachnospiraceae. The record is from RNAcentral.
GGAGUCUGGGCCGUGUCUCAGUCCCAAUGUGGCCGUUCACCCUCUCAGGCCGGCUACUGAUCGUCGCCUUGGUGGGCCGUUACCCCGCCAACAAGCUAAUCAGACGCGGGUCCAUCCUGUACCACCGGAGUUUUUCACACUCUGACAUGCGUCAGUGUGCGCUUAUGCGGUAUUAUCACCUAUUUCUAAGUGUUAUCCCCCGGUACAGGGCAGGUUGGAUACGUGUUACGCACUCGUGCGCCGGUCGCCAUCAACAAUAGCAAGCUAUCGUCAUGAUGCCCCUCGACUUGCAUGUGUUAAGCCUGUAGCUAGCGUUCAUC